This is a long non-coding RNA of Populus euphratica (Euphrates poplar), 767 nucleotides long. RefSeq lists it as uncharacterized. The transcript is spliced from 2 exons. The record is from RefSeq and is a predicted model, not a curated record. Lineage: Eukaryota; Viridiplantae; Streptophyta; Magnoliopsida; Malpighiales; Salicaceae.
UUUCUCUUCUGUUCUCCUUUUUUUUUAUCAUCAGUCUUAUAGAUUAACGGGUUUUUGUUAGAUUAUUGAAAUUUUGAUGCCAGGGAGAGUUCCUUUUUUUAGCUUGAAUCAUGUUAACAUUGGAUUAUAUUUUAGGUUAUGCUUAAUGGGUUUGUUUUAUACUGGUGAAUUGCAUGUAAUGAUAACUGGGUUUUUCUGAAUUCGUAAUCUAAUCUAUGUAUGCUAUGCAGUACGUAGGUUGCUUACUGAUGCUCAUUUGUUAUGCAUCCUGUUGCAAGAUUUAGCGAUGACUCAUUGAAUUAACUUGAUGUUAUGAGUAAUUGAAGUUUAAUACGGCUAUGGCAUGAGUUGAUUGAAGUUAGUUUGUAGUAAAUUGAUGGCGUGGAGAUGGUAUUUACACGGGUUUUUUUAUACUAGAAAAUGAACGUGUCUCAUGUCUAAGUAAUUUGUAAAGCUUAAAAAGAUUGAAAAUGUUUGGUAUCAUUAGGAAUUUUUUCUUAAAUUUUGUGAUCGCCAGCUGCUUGGGUAAAGAAAGUGGGGUGGGGGAAAGAGUCUUAACAAAAUCCGUCAUUUUAUAUGUUUCUUUGGAAAAAGGAAAAUACAUGCUUGCCUCAUCAUGUUGUUAUAUGUGCUUGUAAUGCUUUAUUUGGAGGUUAUUAUAGAUUUGGAUGGGAUUUAAUGCAUCUCAGGUAACAAGCUUGUUAUGCUGUGAUCUUCAUUUUUCCUACUCAUCUUUUGCUUGUUCGUGUAAAUAAUAAUAAUAAUAA